GCUUCACGAAACCCAAGGAGAGCCAGAGGAAUCCUCGCAGUAGAGCUCUGAAAAAUGCCAAACUAGCCAGCUGGUCAUGUCCUAUCAACAAAAUUGAAAGCAAUACCUCCAAUCCUUCUAUAUAAACCGCAAGCUCCCUUUCCUUCUGCGUGUGUUAGCUGGUGUGUUGCAAUGGAGCACUCUCGGCGAUUGCUUCCAGCCAUCCUUCUGCUCUUGUUCCUUCUCAUAUCCUCAGAGAUGGGAACGAAGGUGGUGGAGGCAAGGACAUGCGAGUCUCAAAGCCACAGGUUCAAGGGUACGUGCUUGAGAGCAAGCAACUGUGCAAACGUGUGCCAGACUGAGGGCUUCCAAGGAGGUGUUUGCCGGGGCUUACGCGGCCGAUGCUUUUGCACAAAGCGUUGCUAAUGACCUACGCUUCGCAUGCAGGAAUGUGAGGCCGGGUUAUGUGGCUACCAUAAGCUUUUCAUGCGUCUUCAGAAUAAAAUAAGCUUAGUUUUAGGACCUGUUGCUCUUUUCUCUCCUUUGUAGUCAAGUCUUUAUGGCGUGGAACUUCGAGCUUGCACAAGUUCAGUUGUGCUUAUGAAUGAUCCUGUUAAGCUUAGUUGAGCUAGCUUGUAUUUUGCUGUUAUCUAAUGUGACUAUUUGAGUAAUUAAUCCAUAA
Molecule: non-coding RNA, 661 nt
Organism: Phoenix dactylifera (date palm)
Lineage: Eukaryota; Viridiplantae; Streptophyta; Magnoliopsida; Arecales; Arecaceae
Source: RefSeq, a predicted model, not a curated record